This 1109-nucleotide long non-coding RNA is filed under the name Marmota marmota marmota (Alpine marmot). RNAcentral's name for it is "lncRNA (ENSMMMG00000018333.1)". The record is from RNAcentral. Lineage: Eukaryota; Metazoa; Chordata; Mammalia; Rodentia; Sciuridae.
AGGGGUUGUGAGACAAUAAACUAAUGGUAGCAGGGACCUGUGGCCCCCGAAGCCCUGGGUGGGUACCGCCAGACCCUUCGUAGAAGUCGCCCACCCUGGUUUUAUAUGAUGAAACCAGGCAGCCCAUGACCCUGUAGGAAAAAGUAAGACAAAUUGGAAGUCCUCCUCUGGCUCUUGGACACCUCAAGCCAAAACCUCCCCCGUCUGUACCCAGGCCUCACAGCCCACCCCCACCAGGGUCUCCCGUGGAGGAUGGAGGAGUGUGUGGUGGAGGGAUCACGGAAGCUUCCCGCAGUUCCAUCUUGCCCUCGGCAGGAUCAUCUGGAUUAGCUCAGUGAGACCCAAAGCCUUCAGGGACAGGCAGCCCCAAAAGCAGAUGCCUCAAGAACAUUCCAGUGAGUUCUGAAGUCCUCCCCCACCCUGCAAGCCCAGAGGAUGCCUCCGGAGAGAGCUGAGGUUGGACAGACCUGCAGAGCAACCCUGCCCUGCACUCUGUCCCCAGGCCCAUCCUGGAAGGUGCCACAGCCCCGCCCUCCAACACAGGCGUCUAAUAGACUCCCCAUGGGCCGCUGUCCUGGCCAGGGUCCUGCUGCAUGAGAAGAUGGCUGCUCCCUCCCCUCCCUACGCCGUGGUCAUUGUUCUACAAUCGAGUGCCUUAAUCCUAGUUUACAAAUACUGUGUAUUUAUGGAGACUGUUGCGCUCUCAUCUUUGGUGACUGGGUAUUUGUCUCAUCAGUGGUGGUUGGUGUGGGACACGAGCUGUCCUAGGCCAUUCUCGUGUUGACUCCGCUGUGCAGUUGGACGUGGUGUGUCCACAGCUACUCCAGGGAGCCUUGCUAGAAACAGCACCUGUGGUUCCGGGGGCCAGGCCAGCCUCGGCCAUGGGUGCGUCCCUCAGGAGCCCACGAAAGAACACAGUUUGGUUUGUGGCCAGCUGGGGAGCGGCACAGGCCAAGCUCCAGACCCCAGCCCCUCGGCCAUCCCCAUCACAGCUGUGCCCUUGUCUCAUAGAGGUGUGACUACCGCCUGGCCACCCUGGCUUUCCUCUCUUAGUGUCCUAAACUCUUUUGCAACAAAAUGUAGGUACAGGUCCCCCACUGGGACACCAC